Molecule: ribosomal RNA, 479 nt
Filed under: uncultured bacterium
Lineage: Bacteria
Description: partial 16S ribosomal RNA
Rfam family: Bacterial small subunit ribosomal RNA
Source: RNAcentral
AUUGAACGCUGGCGGCAUGCCUUACACAUGCAAGUCGAACGGUAACAGGUCUUCGGAUGCUGACGAGUGGCGAACGGGUGAGUAAUACAUCGGAACGUGCCCAGACGUGGGGGAUAACGAGGCGAAAGCUUUGCUAAUACCGCAUACGAUCUAAGGAUGAAAGCAGGGGACCGCAAGGCCUUGUGCGUUUGGAGCGGCCGAUGGCAGAUUAGGUAGUUGGUGGGAUAAAAGCUUACCAAGCCGACGAUCUGUAGCUGGUCUGAGAGGACGACCAGCCACACGGGGACUGAGACACGGCCAAGACUCCUACGGGAGGCAGCAGGGGGGAAUUUUGGACAAUGGGCGAAAGCCUGAUCCAGCAAUGCCGCGUGCAGGAUGAAGGCCUUCGGGUUGUAAACUGCUUUUGUACGGAACGAAAAGGCUCUGGCUAAUACCUGGGGCACAUGACGGUACCGUAAGAAUAAGCACCGGCUAACUAC